This 449-nucleotide ribosomal RNA is filed under the name uncultured bacterium. Its description in RNAcentral is "partial 16S ribosomal RNA". It matches the Rfam family "Bacterial small subunit ribosomal RNA", at positions 29 to 523 of the family's 1533-position model. The record is from RNAcentral.
AACGAACGCUGGCGGCAGGCUUAACACAUGCAAGUCGAACGAGAUCUUCGGAUCUAGUGGCAGACGGGUGAGGAACACGUGGGAACAUCCCUUUCAGUUCGGAAUAACGUUGGGAAACUAACGCUAAUACCGGAUACGUCCUUCGGGAGAAAGAUUUAUCGCUGAAAGAUUGGCCCGCGUCUGAUUAGCUAGUUGGUGAGGUAACGGCUCACCAAGGCUACGAUCAGUAGCUGAUCUGAGAGGAUGAUCAGCCACACUGGGUCUGAGACACGGCCCAAACUCCUACGGGAGGCAGCAGUGGGGAAUAUUGGACAAUGGGCGCAAGCCUGAUCCAGCCAUGCCGCGUGAGUGAUGACGGCCUUCGGGUUGUAAAGCUCUUUUGUCCGGGAAGAUAAUGACUGUACCGGAAGAAUAAGCCCCGGCAAACUUCGUGCCAGCCGCCGCCGUAA